This 1463-nucleotide long non-coding RNA is filed under the name Anas platyrhynchos platyrhynchos (common mallard). RNAcentral's name for it is "lncRNA (ENSAPLG00000018512.1)". The record is from RNAcentral. Lineage: Eukaryota; Metazoa; Chordata; Aves; Anseriformes; Anatidae.
GAGAGGGUCUCUCGGCCCCCCCAGGACCUGACGUCGGCGCUGACCCGUAAGAUCACGCUGAAGACCCCGCUCAUCUCGUCCCCCAUGGACACCGUCACCGAGUCCGAUAUGGCCAUCGCCAUGGCGGUGAGCUUUUUUUUUGGGGGGGGGGCACCCCGGGAUUUUGGGGGGCUGGGGGGGUGGGUGUGGGGUCAGGGUGUACGUCACGGUAUGGGUUGGGGUGUGGGGUUGGGGGGCUCGCGCCUGUGUGGGGUUGGGGUGCUCACCCCUGUGUUAUUUUGGGGGAUACGGAUUUGGGGUAACCAACACAUCUGGUUUGGGGUGCGCAUUUGGGGUGCCCACCCCUAUGUGGGUUUGGGGUGUAGGGUUAGGGUGCCCAUCACGUUAUGGGUUGGGGUGUGGGAUUGGGGUGCUCACCCCUGUGUGGGGUUGGGGUGCUCACCCCUGUGUUAUUUUGGGGGAUACAGAUUUGGGGUGCCCACCCCAUCUUAUUGGGGGUGCGCAUUUGGGGUGCCCACCCCUAUGUGGGUUUGGGGUGUAGGGUUAGGGUCCCCAUCACAUUAUGGUUUGGGGGUUUGGGGUUGGGGUGCUUGCACCUCUGUGGGGUCAGGGUGCUCACCACUGUGUUAUUUUGGGGGAUACGGAUUUGGGGUAACCAACACAUCUGGUUUGGGGGUGCGCAUUUGGGGUGCACACCCUGUGCAGGUUUGGGGUAUAGGGUUAGGGUCCCCAUCACAUUAUGGUUUGGGGUGCCCAUCCCUGUAUAGAGUUGGGGUGUUCACCCUUGUAUGGGGUUGGGGUAGCCACCCCUGUGUUAUUUUGGGGGAUACAGAUUUGGGGUAACCAACACAUCUGGUUUGGGGGUGUGCAUUUGGGGUGCCCACCCCUAUGUGGGUUUGGGGUGUAGGGUUAGGGUGCCCAUCACGUUAUGGGUUGGGGUGUGGGGUUGGGGUGCUUGCGCCUGUGUGGGGUCAGGGUGCCCACCCCUGUGUUAUUUGGAGGGUUAUAGAUUUGGGGUGCCCACCCCAUCUUAUUGGGGGUGCGCAUUUGGGGUGCUCACCCUGUGCAGGUUUGGGGUGUGGGGUCAGGGUGCCCAUCAUGGUAUGGUUUGGGGGUGUGGGGUUGGGGUGCUCGCACCUGUGUGGGGUCGGGGUGCUCGCCCCUGUGUUAUUUUGGGGGAUACAGAUUUGGGGUUACAGCCCAUCUGGUUUGGGGUGCACAUUUGGGGUGCCCACCCCUAUGUGGGUUUGGGGUAUAGGGUAAGGUCCCCAUCACAUUAUGGUUUGGGCGUGUGGGGUUGGGGUGCUUGCACCUGUGUGGGGUUGGGGUACCCACCCCUGUGUUAUUUUCGGGGAUACAGAUUUGGGGUAACCAACACAUCUGGUUUGGGGUGCGCAUUUGGGGUGCCCACCCCUGUGCAGGAUUGGGGUGUGGGGUCGGGGUGCCCAUCACUUUAUGGUUUU